UACGUAGGUGGCAAGCGUUGUCCGGAUUUAUUGGGUUUAAAGGGUGCGUAGGCGGACUGGUAAGUCAGUGGUGAAAUCUCUUUGCUUAACAAAGAAACUGCCAUUGAUACUGCUAGUCUAGAGUAUAGAUGACGUUGGCGGAAUAUGACAUGUAGUGGUGAAAUACUUAGAUAUGUCAUAGAACACCGAUUGCGAAGGCAGCUAACGAAACUAUAACUGACGCUGAGGCACGAAAGUGCGGGGAUCAAACAGG
Molecule: ribosomal RNA, 253 nt
Filed under: uncultured prokaryote
Description: partial 16S ribosomal RNA
Rfam family: Bacterial small subunit ribosomal RNA
Source: RNAcentral